This is an unclassified non-coding RNA of Pongo abelii (Sumatran orangutan), 148 nucleotides long. It matches the Rfam family "Metazoan signal recognition particle RNA". From Rfam's summary of the family: The signal recognition particle (SRP) is a universally conserved ribonucleoprotein. It is involved in the co-translational targeting of proteins to membranes. The record is from Ensembl. Lineage: Eukaryota; Metazoa; Chordata; Mammalia; Primates; Hominidae.
GCUGGGUGUGGUGGUGUGUGCCUGUAGUCCCAGCUGCUUGGGAGGCUGAGGCAGGAGAAUCACUUGAACCCAGGAGGUGGAAGUUGCAGUGAGCUGAGAUCGUGCCACUGCACUCUACCCUGGGUGACAGAGCGAGACUCUGUCUCUA